CAAGGCGUAGCUAUAACUAAAAGCACUCAGCUUACACCUGAAAGAUAUCUGCUCGCCCCAGGUCGCCUUGA
Molecule: transfer RNA, 71 nt
Filed under: Chordeiles acutipennis (lesser nighthawk)
Lineage: Eukaryota; Metazoa; Chordata; Aves; Caprimulgiformes; Caprimulgidae
Description: tRNA-Val
Source: RNAcentral